UACGUAGGGGGCGAGCGUUGUCCGGAUUUAUUGGGCGUAAAGAGCUCGUAGGCGGUUCGAUAAGUCGGACGUGAAAUCUCCACGCUCAACGUGGAGGGGCCGUUCGAUACUGUCGUGACUCGAGUCCGGUAGGGGAGUGUGGAAUUCCCGGUGUAGCGGUGAAAUGCGCAGAGAUCGGGAGGAACACCCGUAGCGAAGGCGGCACUCUGGGCCGGUACUGACGUUGAGAAGCGAAAGCAUGGGGAGCGAACAGG
This 254-nucleotide ribosomal RNA is filed under the name uncultured bacterium. Its description in RNAcentral is "partial 16S ribosomal RNA". It matches the Rfam family "Bacterial small subunit ribosomal RNA", at positions 524 to 776 of the family's 1533-position model. The record is from RNAcentral.